Molecule: transfer RNA, 84 nt
Filed under: Chloroflexota bacterium
Lineage: Bacteria; Bacillati; Chloroflexota
Description: Chloroflexi bacterium (freshwater metagenome) tRNA-Leu
Rfam family: tRNA
About the family: Transfer RNA (tRNA) molecules are approximately 80 nucleotides in length. Their secondary structure includes four short double-helical elements and three loops (D, anti-codon, and T loops).
Source: RNAcentral
GCCAAGGUGGCGGAACGGCAGACGCGGCGGACUUAAAAUCCGCUGGGGCAACCCGUGUGGGUUCGAGUCCCACCCUUGGCACCA